This 253-nucleotide ribosomal RNA is filed under the name uncultured bacterium. RNAcentral describes it as "partial 16S ribosomal RNA". It matches the Rfam family "Bacterial small subunit ribosomal RNA", at positions 524 to 776 of the family's 1533-position model. The record is from RNAcentral.
UACGUAGGGGACAAGCGUUAUCCGGAAUUACUGGGUGUAAAGGGAGCGUAGACGGUAAUGUAAGUCUGGAGUGAAAGGCGGGGGCCCAACCCCCGGACUGCUCUGGAAACUAUGUUACUAGAGUGCUGGAGAGGUAAGCGGAAUUCCUAGUGUAGCGGUGAAAUGCGUAGAUAUUAGGAGGAACACCAGUGGCGAUGGCGGCUUACUGGACUGUAACUGACGUUGAGGCUCGAAAGCGUGGGGAGCAAACAGG